RNAcentral lists this ribosomal RNA (498 nucleotides) under uncultured bacterium. RNAcentral's name for it is "partial 16S ribosomal RNA". It matches the Rfam family "Bacterial small subunit ribosomal RNA", at positions 28 to 507 of the family's 1533-position model. The record is from RNAcentral.
GACGAACGCUGGCGGCGUGCCUAAUACAUGCAAGUCGAACGAGAGCGACCGGUGCUUGCCCUGGUCAAUCUAGUGGCGAACGGGUGAGUAACACGUGGGUAACCUGCCCAUCAGAGGGGGAUAACAUCCGGAAACGGAUGCUAAAACCGCAUAGGUCUUCGAACCGCAUGGUUUGAAGAGGAAAAGAGGCGCAAGCUUCUGCUGAUGGAUGGACCCGCGGUGCAUUAGCUAGUUGGUGAGGUAACGGCUCACCAAGGCCGUGAUGCAUAGCCGACCUGAGAGGGUGAUCGGCCACAUUGGGACUGAGACACGGCCCAAACUCCUACGGGAGGCAGCAGUAGGGAAUCUUCCGCAAUGGACGCAAGUCUGACGGAGCAACGCCGCGUGAGUGAAGAAGGUUUUCGGAUCGUAAAACUCUGUUGUUAGAGAAGAACAAGUGCUAGAGUAACUGUUAGCGCCUUGACGGUAUCUACCCAGAAAGCCACGGCUAACUACGUG